Long non-coding RNA from Orcinus orca (killer whale), 5219 nucleotides. RefSeq lists it as uncharacterized. The transcript has 2 exons. NCBI's taxonomy places the organism in Eukaryota, Metazoa, Chordata, Mammalia, Artiodactyla, Delphinidae. The record is from RefSeq and is a predicted model, not a curated record.
CGGGCCGGGCGGGGCGGCGCGGCGCGACCCGGGAAUCUCCGAGUCCGCGGCGCGGGCCGGGCACCCAGGCCGAGGGAAAGGCAGGAAGCGCCUGAUUUCAGACACCACCCUCAGACUAGCAGCUCAGUGCGGAGCCCGAGCGGCCGGGCGCAGUGGCCGCUUCUAGCCGGGCAGGGGAGCGGAGCGGCCCUGGCGUCUGUCACUUGCGCCAACGGCAGCUGCCAGGGGCUCUCCCGGGCAAGGCGCUGAGACUCGACCCGGAACGGGACCUGCGAGCUUCACCUGCCCCUGUCAAGACUUGGCCCAAGGAAAGUGCUCCCCAGAAUCGAGCGAAGAAUUUGUUCAACCAGAUUUCCCACCUGCGCCCCCAUCCGAGAGAACGCUGGAUUUUCAGGACGCCUGCCGCGGGAGCACAGCCACCCCACGUUCUCAGGCGGCACCUUGUUAAGAUCAGCGGGCUUUCGUGCAUCUGGUCUGAUGCUGACAGUGAAGAUGGGUCUUUGCUGUGGGGCACCUGGUUAUCUAUCACCACCAGUACCCCCAGACCACUCCACCCCAUCCCGCCACAGGCCGUUGAGGCCGAGAACAAGGUAGCAUGCAGCCAUAUGUCCCUGAGAGAGGAUGUGUAUGGGCAGGAGCUACCUGAGUGGUUCUUUCAAGGAUUUGUAGCCUUGAGCUGGCCCCUGGUGCUGGAAUUUGGGGAAGUAGAGGGAACAGAGGGAAGACAUUCUGGGCAGAGAAUGGAAGAAUUAUAGGUUCCCUAGGGACCAUCCAUAGGGGACAGUGUGCCCUUGAGAGGCUGUGACUGGUGUACUCUCCAGAUGCCCCGAGCUCAAGGAUUAAGUCUUCUCCUGGUCCCUCUAGCCUACCUGUUCAGGGUAGACCCACUCUCCUUGAAGGGGCAGGGAGCAAAAUCUCUUUCUGUUUCCUUGGCGCAAUGCUCAGACUCUCAGAGUUGAUGUUUGUUAAGUUUAUUUCAUAGGAGCUGAGUUUCAAAAAGGAAGCACCAGGCCAUUGGCCUCAACAUUUGAGCAGGAAACACCGUGUAGAAAGGGAUUUUGAAAACAGUGUAAAUUUACUCUUCUUUACCAUUCUUUGCAAUACAUUUGUCAGAGGAUAUUUUGCUGCUCUUUCAACCGUUAAUGAUUGGUGGUGAGGGUUUCAUGAUAAAUCCUUGGGUACAUCUUUUCCUAAGUCCACACGUAUGCAUGUACAGAGCACACACACACUCUCCUUAGUGAGUGGUCCCUGACUCCCUUCAGCAUCUGUGUCUUCAUCCUUCAGACUGGUCUUGACCUGUUCCAGUGGCUCUUCUGUCUCCUUCCUAGACUAGCCUGCCUUGUCUACAGGAGGAAAGAAAUCAGGAGUUCUCCACACCCUUUUCCUAUUCUCCAGGACCCCCAGCUAGGAGUGGAGAAUUGACCUGUCAGCUUGUUUCCUGCUGGGACACACACAUCAAGUUCACUGUGGCUGAGGGCUGACUGUCCAAACUGGCAAGAGUCAGGUUUAGCAGUUUCCCCUCCUCUGCCCCCUGCCUGCACACAAAGUCUUGGGUGGAGGGAGGUAGCAGCAGAAUCAAGACAACGAGCUUGUCCCCUUCAGCGUUGUAAAAUCUUUGUAAUCAGAAUAUAAUUUGAUAUCUUGCAGGCUAAAGAGUACUCACAUCAAAGGACAUUCUGAUGCUUGGAAAUCAUUAAUUCUUCCCUCAAAUUGUCCAUAGCCAGUCCACAUCUGUAGUUCUAUCAACCUUCCAAAUCAUUCAAGUCAAAGAGACGACCAGGCGUUGAAGUUUUUUUCUAAACAUCUACAACAUUUUUUUGUAAACUGAAAAAUAAUUUUUGGACAUUUAUAGAACUAGGAGGAAACCCAAUAUCCUAAAAUGUUAACACUCUGACUCUGGCAUCUUGUAUAUCUGAUUGAAUCCUCACAACAACCCUAUGAGGUAGACUCCAUCCUCCUUUUAUAUGAAAACAAUCGAGACCUAGAGAAUUUAGUAACUUACCCAGAGAAACAAAGCCUGCAAUUGGCAGAGCCCGAUUUUGAAAGCAAAAUGAGCCGGUUCGAAAGCCUCUGUAUUGGCUUCUAUACCAUGCUGCCUCAGUUCCCAUGGUUUUCAUAAGGAUAAUACUGAACUCACUGGGUUGACGUGAGGACUAAAUGGAAGAAUUUAUUUGUAUGCUUAGCACAUUAUUUAAUAUCAACAAAUAUAACUAUUGCUUAAAGAAAAACUCUCUCAGUGGACAUAAAUUUCCCACUCUCAAUUUCCUACCAGUGUCUUUUUUUUUUAUUAUUAUUAUCAUUUCCAUAUCAGUUCUUUGCUUGUGCAUGUGUACACCUUCCUACGGGGGAUAGUUUCACAGGUAAGUCAGGAGCUAUGAACUUGUUUCUCAGCCUGUGGUAUAAGAAGAAUGAGGAAAAAAAUGACAGAAUGCGAUUUAGAGGGAAGAACUCAUUUUUCCUAGAGGAAGCUGUGAUGUUUUUGUAUUUUAGCAGUAUGGAAUAACGGCACCCCAAGCUGAGUGAAAUUCCAGCUGUAGCCCCCGGAUGCUGCAUAGAGAACGCCGCUGCGUUCCUUUACCUACAGGCACAGUAGCUGUCUCGCGUGGCCACUGAAAGUCCUGUUUCUGUGUGCGUGGAGACUGACUAGCGUGUGGCCUUCCUCCUAAGAAUAUGCCUGGGCUACUGCUGCACAUGCUUGAUUCAGCUGGCCUUGAGCUCAAGGAUAAUACCUUCUGUAAAGCCAAGCAUAGCCUUUUCUCCCCGUGCAAACAGGAGAACUACUCUAUCUUCUGAUCAGAGGCCAGCAAAGUCCCACUGUCAGUUUUCCCUUUCCUUUCUUCCACAUACUUAUUACAGAGUGUAUGUUUAAAGAGUCUCCUUCUUCACUGUAAUCAGCCGCCCCCUCCUUCCUGAUUCAUUUGUGGAAGUGAUUGUGGGACCACUAGCCUCAGAGUCUUCCCUGAAUGAUUCAGGCCAGCAGAACUUGCUGUUUAGAUCGGCAAUUAACCCAGAUAUUAGUGAGUAAACAGCCCAGACAUUCUUGGGGAGGAAGCACUGCCAUGGGCCACUGCAUUGAAGGAAUUACAAUUCCUGCAGACAAGCCUUGGAGGGCAGUGAGCAGAGAAGUCUUCUGGUGGCUGCAGGACCUUCCUCGGUGGCAGCAGUAGACAGGGGGACUCAGAGGAAAAACAGGAAAGGGUGCCUGACUCAGUAGGAUGUCAAAGGUCAGAUGUCAUCUGUGUAUGAGAGAGAGAGAGAGUUUUUGUUUGUUUGUUUUUUGAGGUACGCGGGCCUCUCACUAUUGUGGCCUCUCCUGUUGCAGAGCACAGGCUCCGGACGCGCAGGCUCAGCGGCCAUGGCUCACGGGCCCAGCCACUCCGUGGCAUGUGGGAUCUUCCUGGACCAGGGCACGAACCCGUGUCCCCUGCAUCGGCAGGCGGACUCUCAACCACUGCGCCACCAGGGAAGCCCGAGAGAGAGGUUUUAUAAAGGACUCUGGAGAACUGUGUUCAGGCAGAGUGAGGUUUUAAUGUGUUAAGGGAUUUAGGAAAAGAAAUCUAAUCCAAAGUAAGGUAUUGUUCGAGUAUCAGCCCCCUGCAAAGCCUCAGCUAUUAGUGUAUUCCUUAUCUCUAGCGAAAAGAAAAAGUAGGAAACCUUAUGCGGAGUCCACUUUUACAGUUUUCAUCACCAGCAUAAUGGGUGAGGUAAGAAGCCAUCAGAGGCGUUUGCUUUGUCCUCAGCUACCUAGGUGGUUUUCAUGCCAGUAUUGUCGGAAGACUGGUCUGACCUUCUGCUAACAUCUUCCAUCUAUCUCCCAGCUCUCAGGUCUACCUUGGGAAUGCACAUUCAAGUUGUGUAUUCAGCUUGAAUCCUUCCUUCGCAAGGGAUAUUGCAGGAUGGCUCUAAAGCCCAGUAUUGAAGUCUGGAGGCUGAUGGUUCCACAGGUGGUCCAAGCGGCUCCAAGAUGUCAAGCUCGUGAACUGCCUAGUUGACCAGCAUGCAGGAGAGGUACCCAGAGGAUUCAGCACAGCUGAUGCCAAACCAUUCCAUUAAGCACACUUGGAGACAGAAGAGCUAUGCAUUCAAUUCUGUCCUUGCUGCUGUCCCCCGACCUCCUGCAGCCUCAGCCGUACAGCCAGAGCUUUCUGAAGACUGGGAAGAUUGCCCUCCAAAUUCUCAGGAGUGCCGGGGGAAAGUCCUAAAUCAAAUGCCUAGCUAUCCUUACGCAGGUGAAACUAAUGGUAUUGAUGGGAAAGAGUAGUGAUGAUCAAGAGAAGCAAAAGAGAGACAGGAAAAAAUAUAUAAAGAAUUGAGGAAGGAAAAAUCAAAGAAAGAUAGAGAGCUGCAAAAUGGACUUAAAUAUUUUUUAGUGAUGGGUCAAUCUGCCUGAUAAGCUCAAAAAAUUCUUCCCAAACUCAGAGGAAAAGGAAAAAAAUUAUGAGAGAUAAGAUAUGAGACAGAGGGACUUCCCUGGUGGACCACUGGUUAAGAAGCCACCUUCCAAUGCAGGGGACAUGGGUUCUAUCCCUGGUCGGGCAACUAAGAUCCCACAUACCACGGGGCAACUAAGGCUGCACACCACAACUACUGAGCUGGUGCGCCCUAGAGCCAUGCGCCACAACUAGAGAGAAACCCACAUGCUGCAACUAGAGAAGACCACGUGCCGCAGCUAAGACUGGACACAGCCAAAUAAAUAAAUAAAUAAUUUUUAAAAUAUAUGAGACAGAGAAGGACAAAGCCAGGAUAUCCAAAAUAUUUUUAACAGAGAGCCAAAAAGGGAGCAUAUUGCUGAUAGAGGAGAAACUGUUCUUGUGUCCCAAGACAGGAGGGGUCCUCAAUAAGGGGAGGGGGAUAUACAUCCCACAGAUCUAUAAGGGGGAGGGGAUUUUGAGAUAAUAAAAAGUGCAAGGACAGACUUCUAUUCUGUGACAUACAUUUAAACCAUCACAUUGAACUUCUCCUCCUGCCUCUCUUUCAAACUCCCAUUGCAACAGGCAAAGGAAAAUAACGACGGGGGUAAAUCUGCCAUUGUUCAAAACUGAAAAACGAUUCCACCCACAUAACAGACAUUUUAAGGAAUUUCUCUAAGACAACGCAGAUGAGACCAGUUUGAGAGAAGGCUUUGACAACCUUCAAUUUACCUCACAGAAAAGAAAGGUAUCUCUAGGGAGCCACCCCCAUCAGAACCCAGCAAUGCUCCUGAGGUUGGUUGUAACAAA